This 30-nucleotide non-coding RNA is filed under the name Mus musculus (house mouse). Lineage: Eukaryota; Metazoa; Chordata; Mammalia; Rodentia; Muridae. The record is from RNAcentral.
UGGACAGAAUCCCUAGGAGUGGUGCUUGAG